Carassius gibelio (silver crucian carp) is the source of this 284-nucleotide long non-coding RNA. RefSeq lists it as uncharacterized. The transcript has 2 exons. NCBI's taxonomy places the organism in Eukaryota, Metazoa, Chordata, Actinopteri, Cypriniformes, Cyprinidae. The record is from RefSeq and is a predicted model, not a curated record.
CACAAACUGUCCUGGAUUUCCUCUUCAUAGACCCCUUUACAGAAUCACUGCACUCAAAGAGUCCCAAAACGUAUCUGUGAUAGGAAUUUUAUAAGACGAGGUCCUCUGGAAAACAUUAAUUCCAUCAAAAGGAAUGUUUGAGAAUUAACCAAUCCAUUAAGCUGCUUCUAUGAGUUUAUAUCUAGGUAAUGUACUACAGCUCAGAAUCAGCACAGCCCUACACAAAUGCACAACUUGGGAGAAAACACGGGUGUCAAAUAAAUAAAUAAAUAUUGGAAACAACA